AGUCGAACGAGAGAGAGGAAGCUUGCUUCCUCAAUCGAGUGGCGAACGGGUGAGUAACGCGUGAGGAACCUGCCUCAAAGAGGGGGACAACAGUUGGAAACGACUGCUAAUACCGCAUAAGCCCACGGGUCGGCAUCGACCAGAGGGAAAAGGAGCAAUCCGCUUUGAGAUGGCCUCGCGUCCGAUUAGCUGGUUGGUGAGGUAAUGGCCCACCAAGGCGACGAUCGGUAGCCGGACUGAGAGGUUGAACGGCCACAUUGGGACUGAGACACGGCCCAGACUCCUACGGGAGGCAGCAGUGGGGAAUAUUGCACAAUGGGGGAAACCCUGAUGCAGCGACGCCGCGUGGAGGAAGAAGGUCUUCGGAUUGUAAACUCCUGUUGUUGAGGAAGAUAAUGACGGUACUCAACAAGGAAGUGACGGCUAACUACGUGCCAGCAGCCGCGGUAAAACGUAGGUCACAAGCGUUGUCCGGAAUUACUGGGUGUAAAGGGAGCGCAGGCGGGAAGACAAGUUGGAAGUGAAAUCUAUGGGCUCAACCCAUAAACUGCUUUCAAAACUGUUUUUCUUGAGUAGUGCAGAGGUAGGCGGAAUUCCCGGUGUAGCGGUGGAAUGCGUAGAUAUCGGGAGGAACACC
Molecule: ribosomal RNA, 637 nt
Filed under: uncultured bacterium
Lineage: Bacteria
Description: bacterial SSU rRNA
Rfam family: Bacterial small subunit ribosomal RNA
Source: RNAcentral